RNAcentral lists this ribosomal RNA (253 nucleotides) under uncultured bacterium. RNAcentral's name for it is "partial 16S ribosomal RNA". It matches the Rfam family "Bacterial small subunit ribosomal RNA", at positions 524 to 776 of the family's 1533-position model. The record is from RNAcentral.
UACGUAGGGUGCAAGCGUUGUCCGGAAUUAUUGGGCGUAAAGAGCUCGUAGGCGGUUUGUCGCGUCUGCUGUGAAAACCCGGGGCUCAACCUCGGGCCUGCAGUGGGUACGGGCAGACUAGAGUGCGGUAGGGGAGACUGGAAUUCCUGGUGUAGCGGUGAAAUGCGCAGAUAUCAGGAGGAACACCGAUGGCGAAGGCGGGUCUCUGGGCCGUAACUGACGCUGAGGAGCGAAAGCGUGGGGAGCGAACAGG